RNAcentral lists this long non-coding RNA (1660 nucleotides) under Coffea arabica (coffee). Its description in RNAcentral is "long non-coding RNA (CARA_LNC003235)". Lineage: Eukaryota; Viridiplantae; Streptophyta; Magnoliopsida; Gentianales; Rubiaceae. The record is from RNAcentral.
AUCUUCCCCCUUCAUUUCCUCUUCUUCUUCGUUCGAGCUACGAGCAGAUUGAACCCUUUUUUGAGUGAGCUCCAUCCAACGAGCUUCACUGGUUGAGCUCUGCUCGAAUCUCGUUUCCACGGCCACUGCUUGGCUUCACUGCUUCAUCGGCGACCUGCGACUGACACGAAGCAGCAGAUUGCAGAAAUUGGGGAGAUAGAGGACUGGAGGUUGCAGCUAAAAAUGUGAAGUAACGGCACCUUCAUUCUACAAAUUGAGAUAUUUAAUAUAUAUUUCUGUAGCAAAUAUGUGAAUUGUUAGUUUAAUAUUUCUGAUUUAGGUAAAAUUUGUUAAGCCUGAAACCCGAACACCUAAAAUUGGGGGGCGCAACCGUACAGGGCCUAGAGGCCUUAGUGGACUUUCUGAGCAUAGAGGAGAGCUCGGUAGCUGAGUCUGACUUUUUUUUCGUGGUGGGGGGGGGGGGGGGGGGGGGGGGGGGGGAGGAGUGGGAGGUAAGAACCAGCCAAGAAAAUGCAGGGUAGCUCAAUUCCUUGGACAAGUGAUUCAGUUGUCGGCACACCAGGGGCUAGAGUAGGGGAGCAUCUCUAUUAAAUGACUAGCUGUGAAGUUUGGUUCUUUGGUUAUUUCUUCAGUCAAAUUCAAGUUGACCUUGAUUUAUAUUUAUAUAACUGUUAAGUAUCAUGUUUGUCAGAAGGAACUAAAUGCUUCUAAGUCUUGUCCAUUUGCUUCAAUUUUUCUUUAUAAUUUGCUGCACUCUUGUUUAUGUUUUGAUGAAAUAAUGAUGAGGUUGAGAGCAGGUUCUUGCUUAUGUAUAUUGCUGAAAAUAUGAAUCUGGACCAUGGCCACUGAGUUUCUUGUUGCGUGCGUUUUUGGAAUCUGCACUGUUGUUUAUGUUUUGAUGAAAUGAUGAUGAGGUUGACAAUACGUUCUUACUUGUGUAUAUUGCUGAAAAUAGGAAUCUGGAUUAUGGCCCUUUCUGUAUAGUGCUAUUUUGAUCAAAUGAGGGUCUUCAAAAUGCCCCACUUUCUUCUUUUUUUUUUGAUCAAAGGAUGAUGAGAUUGAGUCUCGACUUUGCUAUUUUCGUGGAAUCUGGAUCUUGGUCUCGAGUCUUGACUUUGCUAUUUUCAUUAGCUUGAGUUGUUUCUGUUUCCUUAUAGUCAUGAUUUUAUGAUGUUGGAUUGCUGAACAGUCUUGAGUCUUGUUUCUCUUUCCUUACGGUCUCUCUUGGACUGCUGGACAGCUUCCUUACAGCCACAGAAGUGUUUGACCUGCUGAAAUCUCCUUAAUGUUCAAGAUGCUAGAGCUGCAGUGGACUUUGAUAGGCCAUGUUAUCUGAUAGGUCAAUGUUUAGUGCAAAUUAGUGCUGCUGCUGGGCUUCAUAUUCUCGGAAAUCGUUUGUCGAGCUUGAGUACUUUAGCUCGAUAUUGAGCUUGCCAAGUUCUCGAGCUCCAUCAAGUUGAGCUCGAGCCCUCCCACUACUUCGAGUCGAGCUCGAGUACUGCUUUUGAGCAUCAAGUUUGAGCUCAAGUAUGGCGAUACUCGAGUUCGACUCAACCGAUAUCACUCCUACUUAUAUGGCUGUUCCAAACUAAAAAAGAAAACAUUAUAUAAUAUUGAGUCCAAUGGUUAAUAAGAUGAAUAAAAUAUAUGAUAAUGCCAA